UACAGAGGGGGGCAAGCGUUGUUCGGAAUUACUGGGCGUAAAGAGCGUGUAGGCGGCCAGGUAGGUCGGUUGUGAAAACUGGAGGCUCAACCUUCAGAGGUCGACCGAAACCAUCUGGCUAGAGUCCGGGAGAGGAGAGUGGAAUUCCUGGUGUAGCGGUGAAAUGCGCAGAUAUCAGGAAGAACACCCGUGGCGAAAGCGGCUCUCUGGAACGGUACUGACGCUGAGACGCGAAAGCGUGGGGAGCGAACAGG
Molecule: ribosomal RNA, 254 nt
Filed under: uncultured bacterium
Lineage: Bacteria
Description: partial 16S ribosomal RNA
Rfam family: Bacterial small subunit ribosomal RNA
Source: RNAcentral